Long non-coding RNA from Glycine soja, 2033 nucleotides. RefSeq lists it as uncharacterized. The record is from RefSeq and is a predicted model, not a curated record. NCBI's taxonomy places the organism in Eukaryota, Viridiplantae, Streptophyta, Magnoliopsida, Fabales, Fabaceae. The transcript is spliced from 2 exons.
ACCCUUUACUUUUAGAUGAACUUGAGAGAGAAGCAUUCUUUUUUUUUUUUUCAUCCAAUGCUCUACAAAGCUGCUGGAGAAGAUAUUUUCAGGAGAAAAUCCAGUCUCCUAUAAGUAUUUCCCCACAAUUUAAAGUUUCUGAAUCCCAUGGGCCAUUCCAUGACCUUUAUCAUCAAUUGGUUCGUCAUGGAAGUGAAUCGGGUGACUCUUCCGCGUUGAUCUUAUCGGAAAAAACCCAAGUCUCACGUCUGCCAAAGAUAAAGUAUAUAAGGGAGGAAUAAUCCUAAAAACUAGUUUUUAAAGUUGAAUUAGAUCCAAAUUCAGAUUCUAUAACAUCUCUCCUCCACCACCUCCUUAAGGGUCAUGUCAAAUUUUUGAGUUACCCGAAUUUGCUUCCAUGAUGAAUCAAUUGACGACAAACGUCGUGGCAUGGUCUCUCUUCCACAUUGAUCUCUCCUCUACCACCUCCUUAAUCAAAGGAUCACCACUUUGAUGUUGUAACAAAUGUGGUUGGACUGGUUGCAGAUGCUCUUGGUGACAAAUUACUGUCGGAAUGACCCAGUUGGAGCUAUAUACUGUGUUUGCAAUUUACACUAUUACAAACUGGUUCCACACUCAUGGAAAAUGUAGAUAUAUCCUUAUUAUUAUGAACAGAAAAGUCUUGCAAGUAUACAUGUUCAUCAGAGAGAGAAAAAUGAGCAUUGGUAGCAAACUAGCUAUAUUUACUAUCUAGUGUUUCUGUUGGGAAAUGGGAUAUUAAAUCAGGGUUUUCCAGUAAGUACAAGUCACAUCAAUUUUGGAAAGUAAAUUAUUUUUCAUCUCUUGCUCUCACUGCUUCCACCAGUUUUCUCGAGUAUUGAUGUUUGUAAAAUUUCCGUACCAUAAAAGAUUUGUAUACUCUGUCCUUUGUCAGUUUAACUUGCUAAACCAGCUGAACUUUAUUUUUUAGUUAUCUCCUAUUAAAACAAAGAACUUUAUUUUUUAGUUAUCUCCUAUCUAGCAUCGGUUUUACUGUAUUAUAUUCAAUAUGUUUUGGAAAAGUGAGGUAGGAGGCUUAGGGCAACAUAGAAAUUAGAGUGUGAAACACCAGAUUUUAUCUUUAUUUGAACAUAGGUGAAAGUUCAGGUCUCCUGGAUAGUUGUUUGACUUGUUUCUGUAGGUAUGUUGUUUUAAUGCAACAAAAUCCAUUUAUAAAAGCACUAUCUAGUAGCUACAAGGCUAACCCUGUUUGCCAAAAAUGAAAUUAUAUAAAACUAAUUCUAUUCGUUAAUUUAGCAUUCUCUAUUAGUAAUGAAUAAAUAUCCCUAAUGUUUUCCGUUUUAUUAUUGAAUGUCAGAAAAGUUAUUGUCUAACUCAUUUUCCCAAUUAGAUUCACACUGAGGAAUGCAUGGCACUCAUGGUUAUUAGUUUAUUGAUUCAUGCGAUACUAGCAAAAGGUUUAUUCUUACAAACCUCUCUUACGCAUCUAUGUUAAAUAGCUUUCUUACAAACCUUAAUCCUACUGUAACUUUUUUUCUUAAUGGUUCAUAUUAAUCUUAGAGUUUGUGAGACAUAAAGUAUGUGCACGUAUUAGUCUUCACAACGAUUAGAUUAUAUGCCUCAUCGUUUGGAUUUGAUUUGGAACAGGUUGACAUUGAACUGCCAGAAGAUUUACCCUUAAAAGAAGCACACACAAUUGGAGAGAGCCUACAGAUAAAAGCUAGAGAAAUUCCAGAAGUUGAGGGAGCAUUUGUUCAUUUAGACUUUGAAUGUGAUCAUAAAGUUCUCGUCAAACUUCCCAACAAUCAGCCUUAGCACAUUUUACAGGUCCCUUGAAGAAUAUAACUUGAAAGAGAAGGGCAACCAUUCAUUCUGUUGGAAAACUUCUACUCAAUUUUAGUUAAAUUGUUUUUUAGUUCUGAAGAGUUCUACCCCCUAAAACUGCGUGUUACUAGUAUUGUUACAGUGUGUUACUCGAAUGAGUUCCGCGAAAGCUUGAUGUAAAUAAACGAAUUUUUGUCCUCUGCAUCUUGAAUGGAAAUUAUUUUCCCUUA